Molecule: ribosomal RNA, 283 nt
Filed under: Casearia ternstroemioides
Lineage: Eukaryota; Viridiplantae; Streptophyta; Magnoliopsida; Malpighiales; Salicaceae
Rfam family: Eukaryotic small subunit ribosomal RNA (bases 1-41)
Source: RNAcentral
GUAACAAGGUUUCCGUAGGUGAACCUGCGGAAGGAUCAUUGUCGAAACCUGCCCCGCAGAACGACCCGCGAACUGGUUUCUCGAUGCAAGCCGGGGGCGGCGGGAGCGCCCGGCCCCUUGCCCCCGGCCAGCCGCGGGGAGCGGCCCGUUCGGUCCCUCCCCUCGGCUCACGAACAAAACCCCGGCGCCGGACGCGCCAAGGACCCACGAAAAAAAAGAGCACGCCCCAUCGGCCCGGGAACGGGUCGCGGGGCGCGGCAUCUUUCGCUAUGAGCGAGAAAGA